GACGAACGCUGGCGGCGUGCUUAACACAUGCAAGUCGAACGGUGACCCAGGGCUUGCCCUGGUGAUCAGUGGCGAACGGGUGAGUAACACGUGGGCAACCUGCCCCUGACUUCGGGAUAACUCCUCGAAAGAGGAGCUAAUACCGGAUACGAUCACUUCGGACAUCCGAUGGUGGUGGAAAGUUUUCGGUCAGGGAUGGGCCCGCGGCCUAUCAGCUAGUUGGUGGGGUAAUGGCCUACCAAGGCGACGACGGGUAGCCGGCCUGAGAGGGCGACCGGCCACACUGGGACUGAGACACGGCCCAGACUCCUACGGGAGGCAGCAGUGGGGAAUAUUGCGCAAUGGGCGAAAGCCUGACGCAGCGACGCCGCGUGAGGGAUGAAGGCCUCGGUUGUAACCGUCUUUCUAGCAGGGACGAAGCGAAAGUGACGGUACCGUGCAGAAGAAGACACCGGCUAACUACGUGCCAGCAGCCGCGGUAAU
This 483-nucleotide ribosomal RNA is filed under the name uncultured bacterium. RNAcentral's name for it is "bacterial SSU rRNA". It matches the Rfam family "Bacterial small subunit ribosomal RNA", at positions 28 to 524 of the family's 1533-position model. The record is from RNAcentral.